This 447-nucleotide ribosomal RNA is filed under the name uncultured bacterium. Its description in RNAcentral is "partial 16S ribosomal RNA". It matches the Rfam family "Bacterial small subunit ribosomal RNA", at positions 330 to 792 of the family's 1533-position model. The record is from RNAcentral.
CCCAGACUCCUACGGGAGGCAGCAGUGGGGGAUAUUGCACAAUGGGGGAAACCCUGAUGCAGCGACGCCGCGUGGGCGAAGAAGUAUUUCGGUAUGUAAAGCCCUAUCAGCAGGGAAGAAGAAAUGACGGUACCUGAGUAAGAAGCCCCGGCUAACUACGUGCCAGCAGCCGCGGUAAUACGUAGGGGGCAAGCGUUAUCCGGAUUUACUGGGUGUAAAGGGGGCGCAGACGGCGAUGCAAGCCAGGAGUGAAAGCCCGGGGCCCAACCCCGGGACUGCUCUUGGAACUGCGCGGCUGGAGUGCAGGAGGGGCAGGCGGAAUUCCUGGUGUAGCGGUGAAAUGCGUAGAUAUCAGGAGGAACACCGGUGGCGAAGGCGGCCUGCUGGACUGCGACUGACGUUGAGGCCCGAAAGCGUGGGGAGCAAACAGGAUUAGAUACCCGAGUA